RNAcentral lists this small nuclear RNA (141 nucleotides) under Aotus nancymaae (Ma's night monkey). RNAcentral's name for it is "U4 spliceosomal RNA (ENSANAG00000006979.1)". It matches the Rfam family "U4 spliceosomal RNA". Rfam says of the family: U4 small nuclear RNA (U4 snRNA) is a component of the major U2-dependent spliceosome. The structure of U4 snRNA from yeast and human has been reported. Lineage: Eukaryota; Metazoa; Chordata; Mammalia; Primates; Aotidae. The record is from Rfam by way of RNAcentral.
AGCUUUGCGCAGUGGCAGUAUCGUAGCCAAUGAGGUUUAUCUGAGGCGCGAUUAUUGCUAAUUGAAAACUUUUCCCAAUACCUCGCCAUGAUGACUUGAAAUAUAGUCAGCAUUGGCAAUUUUUGGCAGCCUCUACGUAGA